AUACGUAGGGGGCGAGCGUUGUCCGGAAUGAUUGGGCGUAAAGGGCGCGUAGGCGGCCUGUUAAGUCUGGAGUGAAAGUCCUGUCUUCAAGAUGGGAAUUGCUUUGGAUACUGAUGGGCUUGAGUGCAGGAGAGGUUAUCGGAAUUCCCGGUGUAGCGGUGAAAUGCGUAGAGAUCGGGAGGAACACCAGUGGCGAAGGCGGGUAACUGGACUGCAACUGACGCUGAGGCGCGAAAGUGUGGGGAGCAAACAGGAUUAGAUACCCUGGUAGUCCACACUGUAAACGAUGAAUGCUAGGUGUAAGAGGUAUCGACCCCUUUUGUGCCGGAGUUAACACAAUAAGCAUUCCGCCUGGGGAGUACGGCCGCAAGGUUGAAACUCAAAGGAAUUGACGGGG
Molecule: ribosomal RNA, 397 nt
Filed under: uncultured bacterium
Lineage: Bacteria
Description: partial 16S ribosomal RNA
Rfam family: Bacterial small subunit ribosomal RNA
Source: RNAcentral